This 468-nucleotide ribosomal RNA is filed under the name uncultured bacterium. RNAcentral's name for it is "partial 16S ribosomal RNA". It matches the Rfam family "Bacterial small subunit ribosomal RNA", at positions 28 to 507 of the family's 1533-position model. The record is from RNAcentral.
GACGAACGCUGGCGGCGUGCUUAACACAUGCAAGUCGAACGGAAAGGCCCGGCUUUUGUGGGGUGCGCGAGUGGCGAACGGGUGAGUAACACGUGAGUAACCUGCCCUUGACUUUGGGAUAACUUCAGGAAACUGGGGCUAAUACCGGAUAGGAGCUCCUGCUGCAUGGUGGGGGUUGGAAAGUUUCGGCGGUUGGGGGUGGAAUCGCGGCUUAUCAGCUUGUUGGGGGGGUAGUGGCUUACCAAGGCUUUGAACGGUAGCAGGCCUGAGAGGGUGACAGGCCACGCUGGGACGGAGAUGCGGCCCAGCCUCCUACGCGACGCAGCGGUGCAGUAUAUUACACAAUGGGCGGAAGCCUGAUGUGGCCAAGCCGCGUCCGGUGUGUCGUCCUUCGCUUUGUAUUCUACUUUCGUCUGUGACGAAGCGUGAGUGACGGUACUGGGUAAAGAAGCACCGGCUAACUACGUG